RNAcentral lists this ribosomal RNA (300 nucleotides) under uncultured Acetomicrobium sp. RNAcentral's name for it is "bacterial SSU rRNA". It matches the Rfam family "Bacterial small subunit ribosomal RNA", at positions 496 to 795 of the family's 1533-position model. The record is from RNAcentral. Lineage: Bacteria; Thermotogati; Synergistota; Synergistia; Synergistales; Acetomicrobiaceae.
GCUAAGCACGUGCCAGGAGGCGUGGGAAGCCGGAGGGUGCAGGCUGUUGCGGGUGUGAGUGGGCGUAAAGGGCGUGUAGGAGGCCCGACCAGUCCGCGGUGAAAGUCCAGGGCUCAACCCUGGAAUGCCGGUGGAUACUGUCGGGCUAGAGUCCGGAAGGGGCGAGUGGAAUUCCUGGUGUAGCGGUGAAAUGCGCAGAUAUCAGGAGGAACACCAAUGGCGAAGGCAGCUCGCUGGGACGUGACUGACGCUGAGACGCGAAAGCGUGGGGAGCAAACAGGAUUAGAUACCCCUGUAGUC